Molecule: RNA transcript, 13623 nt
Organism: Zalophus californianus (California sea lion)
Lineage: Eukaryota; Metazoa; Chordata; Mammalia; Carnivora; Otariidae
Gene: CELSR3
Gene name: cadherin EGF LAG seven-pass G-type receptor 3
Exons: 36
Source: RefSeq, a predicted model, not a curated record
AUGGCGAGGCGGCCGCCGUGGUGGAGUCUCAGGGGGCCGACGACCCCACUACUCCUGCUCCUUCUCCUCCUCUCUUUGUUCCCUCUCAGCCGGGAGGAGCUGGGGGUCGACGGGGGCCAAGGCUGGGACCCAGGGGUAGCUGCCGCUACGGGGCCAGGGGCGCGGACCGGUGGCAGAGCCGUAGCUCUUUGUCCCGAGACGCCCGGGGUCCAGGAGGAUGGAGAGCCUGGUCUGGGAGUCAGGGAGCCUAUCUUCGUGGGGCUCCGAGGGGGAAGGCAAAGCGCCCAGAGUGGUCGAGGGGCCCCUGAGCAGCCGGACGCGGGGCUGGAGGCGAAAUAUGGGGUCCAGGCAUUAGACAGCCGCGGGCGAGAAACAGGACAGGGACCAGGGUCUCUGCUAUGCUGGCGCGCAGAGGUCUCCUCUUGCGGGCAGACAGGACCCUUGCGAAGAAAUAAUCUGUCUCCAGAGGCUCUGUCCCCAGGGGUCCCGAGCCUGGAGAACAGCUCGCCCUUCCCUUCCGACCUUCUGGUACGGCCCCGUGGUUACAAGCCGGUGUCCUCCCAGAGAAAUGCUGGGAGAGGCAACCCCCCAAAAAUGGGAACCAUGCGCUGCUGCGGAGAAUUGUGGGCGCCGAGGCGCAGGGGUCAGGGCGAGAGAACUGCGACAUCUCGAGCGGAGAGGACAGCUCCCCAGCCGGACUGUUCCUCCAGGGCUGUGGAAUCUGGCCCUGGGCUGGAUUCAGCACCGCGCACAGAGAGGACAGCUCCCGCGUCUGGUUCAGCACCGCGCGAGUCUCGGACAGCUCCCGAGCCGACGCCCGAGCGCAUGCGCUCGCGUGGUCUCUUCCGCCGUCGCUUCCCCCGGCAGCGCCCCGGGCCGCGCCGCCCGGGGGUCCCGGCUCAGCCGAGAGUCUGGAGAAUACCCCCAGCAAGCAGGGUCCGCCCCCGUCGCGCCACGAACCGCCACCCGCAGUUUCCGCAGUACAACUAUCAGGCGCUAGUGCCCGAGAACGAGGCGGCGGGCACCGCGGUGCUACGCGUAGUGGCGCAGGACCCGGACGCAGGCGAGGCCGGGCGCCUAGUUUACUCGCUGGCUGCGCUCAUGAACAGCCGCUCGCUGGAGCUGUUCAGCAUUGACCCACUGAGCGGCCUCAUCCGCACAGAGGCUGCUCUGGACCGCGAGAGCAUGGAGCGGCACUACCUGCGCGUGACGGCGCAGGACCACGGCUCGCCGCGCCUCUCGGCCACCACCAUGGUGGCCGUUACAGUGGCCGACCGCAACGACCACGCGCCGGUGUUUGAGCAGGCGCAAUACCGGGAGACGCUUCGCGAGAACGUGGAGGAGGGCUACCCCAUUCUUCAGUUGCGUGCCACAGACAGCGACGCGCCCCCCAACGCCAAUCUGCGUUACCGCUUCGUGGGGCCGCCAGCUGCGCGCGCCGCUGCCUCCGCCGCCUUCGAGAUUGAUCCGCGGUCUGGCCUCAUAAGCACCAGCGGUCGCGUGGACCGCGAGCACAUGGAAAGCUACGAGCUGGUGGUGGAGGCCAGCGACCAGGGCCAAGAGCCCGGGCCGCGCUCUGCAACUGUGCGUGUGCACAUCACCGUGCUGGAUGAGAAUGACAACGCGCCCCAAUUCAGCGAGAAGCGCUACGUGGCGCAGGUGCGCGAGGAUGUGCGCCCCCACACGGUGGUACUACGCGUCACAGCCACGGACCGGGACAAGGAUGCCAAUGGACUGGUGCACUACAACAUUAUCAGCGGCAACAGUCGUGGCCAUUUCGCAAUUGACAGCCUCACGGGCGAGAUCCAGGUGGUGGCACCUCUGGACUUUGAGGCAGAGCGAGAGUAUGCCUUGCGCAUCCGGGCGCAGGAUGCAGGCCGGCCACCACUGUCCAACAACACAGGCCUGGCCAGCAUCCAGGUAGUGGACAUCAAUGACCAUACUCCUAUCUUUGUCAGCACACCCUUCCAGGUCUCUGUACUGGAAAACGCACCCCUGGGCCAUUCAGUCAUCCACAUUCAGGCAGUGGAUGCAGACCAUGGAGAGAAUGCCAGAUUGGAGUACUCCCUAACUGGUGUGGCACCUGAUAUGCCCUUUGUGAUAAACAGUGCCACUGGCUGGGUCUCUGUGAGUGGUCCCCUGGACCGUGAGUCUGUGGAGCAUUAUUUCUUUGGUGUGGAGGCCCGAGACCAUGGCACACCCCCACUCUCAGCCUCAGCCAGUGUCACGGUAACUGUGCUAGAUGUUAAUGACAAUCGGCCUGAGUUUACGAUGAAGGAGUACCACCUACGGCUGAAUGAGGAUGCAGCUGUGGGCACCACUGUGGUCAGUGUGACCGCUGUAGAUCGUGAUGCCAACAGUGCCAUCAGCUACCAGAUCACAGGCGGCAACACCCGGAAUCGCUUUGCCAUCAGCACCCAGGGGGGUGUAGGUCUGGUGACACUGGCUCUGCCGCUGGACUACAAGCAGGAACGCUACUUCAAGCUGGUGCUAACCGCUUCUGACCGUGCCCUUCAUGAUCACUGCUAUGUGCACAUCAACAUCACAGAUGCCAACACUCACCGGCCUGUCUUUCAAAGUGCCCACUACUCCGUGAGCGUGAAUGAGGAUCGGCCAGUGGGUAGCACUGUGGUGGUCAUCAGUGCCUCUGAUGAUGAUGUGGGUGAGAAUGCUCGUAUCACCUAUCUCCUGGAGGACAACCUGCCCCAGUUCCGAAUUGAUGCAGACUCGGGGGCCAUUACACUACAGGCUCCACUGGACUAUGAGGACCAGGUGACCUACACACUGGCUAUCACUGCUCGGGACAAUGGCAUCCCACAGAAGGCAGACACCACUUAUGUGGAGGUGAUGGUCAAUGAUGUGAAUGAUAAUGCUCCACAGUUUGUGGCUUCCCACUACACGGGGUUGGUAUCUGAGGAUGCCCCACCUUUCACCAGUGUCCUGCAGAUCUCAGCCACUGACCGGGAUGCUCAUGCCAAUGGCCGGGUCCAAUACACUUUCCAGAAUGGGGAAGAUGGGGAUGGAGAUUUUACUAUUGAGCCUACCUCUGGUAUUGUCCGCACAGUGAGGCGGCUGGAUCGGGAGGCAGUGCCAGUAUAUGAACUUACUGCCUACGCAGUGGACCGAGGUGUGCCCCCACUGCGGACUCCAGUCAGCAUCCAGGUGACAGUGCAGGAUGUAAAUGACAAUGCACCUGUCUUCCCAGCUGAGGAGUUUGAGGUGCGAGUGAAGGAGAACAGCAUUGUGGGCUCCGUGGUGGCUCAGAUCACUGCAGUAGACCCUGAUGAAGGCCCAAAUGCCCAUAUAAUGUACCAGAUUGUGGAGGGGAACAUCCCUGAGCUGUUCCAAAUGGACAUCUUCUCUGGAGAGUUGACUGCACUCAUUGACCUGGACUAUGAGGCUCGCCAGGAAUAUGUGAUUGUGGUACAGGCCACAUCGGCCCCUCUGGUCAGUCGGGCCACUGUGCACGUCCGCCUGGUUGACCAGAAUGACAACAGCCCUGUGCUCAACAACUUCCAGAUCCUCUUCAACAACUAUGUAUCCAACCGCUCAGACACCUUCCCCUCAGGCGUUAUUGGACGCAUCCCAGCUUAUGACCCUGAUGUCUCUGACCACCUUUUCUACUCUUUUGAGCGGGGCAAUGAGCUGCAGCUGCUGGUGGUCAACCAGACCAGUGGGGAGCUUCGACUCAGCCGCAAGCUAGACAACAACCGCCCACUGGUGGCUUCCAUGUUGGUGACUGUCACAGAUGGGCUGCACAGCGUGACGGCUCAGUGUGUGCUGCGCGUAGUCAUCAUCACGGAGGAGUUGCUGGCCAACAGCCUGACCGUGCGCCUCGAGAACAUGUGGCAGGAGCGCUUCCUGUCACCAUUGCUGGGCCACUUCCUGGAAGGCGUGGCCGCGGUACUUGCUACACCCGCCGAGGACGUCUUCAUCUUCAACAUCCAGAACGACACGGACGUGGGGGGCAACGUGCUCAAUGUGAGCUUCUCGGCGCUGGCGCCACGCGGGGCCGGGGCGAGCGCUACGGGUCCCUGGUUCAGCUCCGAGGAGCUGCAAGAGCAGUUAUACGUGCGCCGCGCCGCCCUUGCGGCCCGCUCGCUCCUGGACGUGCUGCCCUUCGACGACAACGUGUGCCUGCGCGAGCCCUGUGAGAACUACAUGAAGUGCGUGUCCGUGCUGCGCUUCGACUCGUCCGCGCCCUUCCUGGCCUCGGCCUCCACGCUCUUCCGACCCAUCCAGCCCAUUGCAGGCCUGCGCUGCCGCUGCCCUCCCGGCUUCACGGGAGACUUCUGCGAGACGGAGCUGGACCUCUGCUAUUCCAACCCGUGCCGGAACGGCGGCGCCUGCGCGCGGCGCGAGGGCGGCUACACCUGCGUGUGCCGCCCGCGCUUCACAGGAGAAGACUGCGAGCUGGACACGGAGGCCGGACGCUGCGUCCCCGGCGUCUGCCGCAACGGGGGUACCUGUGCCGACGGGCCCGACGGCGGCUUCCGCUGCCAGUGCCCGGCGGGCGGCGCCUUCGAGGGCCCGCGCUGCGAGGUGGCGGCGCGCUCCUUCCCUCCCAGUUCGUUCGUCAUGUUCCGCGGCCUGAGGCAGCGCUUCCACCUCACGCUGUCCCUCUCGUUCGCAACGGUGCAGCCAAGUGGGCUGCUCUUCUACAACGGGCGCCUGAACGAGAAGCACGACUUCCUGGCCCUGGAGCUCGUGGCCGGGCAAGUGCGGCUUACAUAUUCCACGGGUGAAUCCAACACAGUGGUCAGCCCUACAGUUCCAGGGGGACUGAGUGAUGGACAGUGGCACACAGUGCAUCUGAGAUACUACAACAAGCCCCGGACAGAUGCCCUGGGGGGUGCUCAGGGCCCCUCCAAGGACAAGGUGGCUGUGCUGAGCCUGGAUGACUGCGACGUGGCCGUGGCUCUACAGUUUGGUGCUGAGAUUGGCAAUUACUCGUGUGCGGCUGCUGGCGAGCAAACAAGCUCCAAGAAGUCCCUGGACCUGACGGGCCCUCUGCUCCUGGGGGGUGUCCCCAACCUCCCCGAGAACUUCCCCGUGUCACACAAGGAGUUCGUUGGCUGCAUGCGGGACCUGUACAUUGAUGGCCGCCGAGUGGACAUGGCAGCCUUUGUCGCGAACAACGGCACCACAGCAGGCUGCCAGGCCAAGCUGCACUUUUGUGACUCGGGCCCCUGUAAGAACAGCGGCUUCUGCUCAGAACGCUGGGGCGGCUUCAGCUGCGACUGCCCCGUGGGCUUCGGUGGCAAAGACUGUAGGCUCACCAUGGCCCAUCCCCAUCAUUUCCGAGGCAAUGGCACCCUGAGCUGGGACUUUGGAAAUGACAUGGCCGUGUCUGUGCCGUGGUACCUGGGGCUGGCAUUUCGGACACGGGCGACGCAGGGGGUCCUGAUGCAAGUGCAGGCUGGGCCACACAGCACGCUCCUCUGUCAGCUGGAUCGGGGGUUGCUGUCCGUGACGGUGACCAGGGGCUCGGGCCGUGCUGCCCACCUCCUCCUGGAUCAGGUGACUGUCAGUGAUGGCCGGUGGCACGAUCUACGGCUGGAAUUGCAGGAGGAGCCAGGGGGCCGGCGGGGCCACCAUGUCCUCAUGGUCUCAUUGGACUUUAGCCUCUUUCAGGACACCAUGGCAGUGGGGAGUGAACUGCAGGGUCUGAAGGUAAAGCGACUCCAUGUGGGAGGCCUGCCCCCCAGCAGUGAAGAGGAGGUUCCUCAGGGCCUGGUUGGCUGUAUCCAGGGGGUAUGGCUCGGUUCCACGCCUUCGGGAUCCCCAGCCCUGCUUCCACCCAGCCGCCGAGUGAACGUGGAACCUGGUUGUGUCGUGACCAAUGCCUGUGCAUCUGGCCCCUGCCCACCCCAUGCUGACUGCCGAGACCUCUGGCAGACCUUUUCUUGCACCUGCUGGCCAGGUUACUAUGGCCCAGGGUGUGUGGAUGCCUGCCUCUUGAAUCCCUGUCAGAACCAGGGGUCAUGCCGCCAUCUCCCAGGAGCCCCCCAUGGCUAUACCUGCGAUUGUGUGGGUGGCUAUUUUGGGCACCACUGUGAGCACAGGAUGGACCAGCAGUGUCCACGAGGCUGGUGGGGGAGCCCAAGCUGUGGCCCCUGCAACUGUGACGUUCACAAGGGCUUUGACCCCAACUGUAAUAAGACAAAUGGGCAGUGUCACUGCAAGGAGUUCCACUACAGACCACGGGGCAGUGACUCAUGUCUCCCAUGUGACUGCUACCCUGUGGGCUCCACCUCUCGUUCAUGUGCGCCCCACAGUGGGCAGUGCCCCUGUCGCCCAGGAGCCCUCGGCCGCCAGUGCAACAGCUGUGACAGUCCUUUCGCAGAGGUGACAGCCAGUGGCUGCCGAGUGCUCUAUGACGCCUGCCCCAAGUCCCUGAGAUCUGGUGUGUGGUGGCCCCAGACCAAGUUUGGCAUGUUGGCCUCAGUGCCCUGUCCUCGGGGGGCCCUGGGUGCUGCCGUACGGCUGUGUGGUGAGGACCAGGGUUGGCUGGAGCCUGACCUCUUCAACUGUACCUCCCCUGCCUUUCGAGAACUCAAUCUGCUGCUGGAUGGCCUAGAGCUGAAUAAGACAGUCCUGGAUACAGUGGAGGCCAAGAAGCUGGCUCAGAGGCUGCGGGAGGUGACUGGCCACACUGACCACUACUUUAGCCAGGAUGUCCGGGUCACUGCCCGACUGCUGGCCCACCUGCUGGCCUUCGAGAGCCACCAGCAGGGCUUCGGGCUGACAGCCACACAGGAUGCCCACUUCAAUGAGAAUCUGCUAUGGGCUGGCUCCGCACUGCUUGCUCCCGAGACUGGAGACCUGUGGGCAGCCCUGGGGCAGCGGGCCCCUGGGGGCUCCCCAGGCAGUGCCGGGCUGGUGCAGCAUCUGGAAGAGUAUGCAGCCACCCUCGCCAGGAAUAUGGAGCUCACAUACCUGAAUCCCGUGGGGCUGGUGACGCCCAACAUCAUGCUCAGCAUUGACCGCAUGGAGCACCCCAGUCCCACCCGGGGGACUCGUCGCUACCCUCGUUACCAUAGCAACCUUUUCCGGGGCCAGGAUGCCUGGGAUCCUCACACACACGUCCUGCUGCCUUCCCAGUCCCCACGGCCAUCCCCACCUGAAGCUCUGUCCACAAGCAGCAGCAGCAUGGAAAACUCCACCACUUCAAGUGCGGCCCCUCCUCCAGCCCCCCCAGAGCCCGAGCCAGAGCCUGGGAUCUCCAUUGUCAUCCUCCUCGUUUACCGCACCUUGGGGGGGCUGCUCCCUGCCCAGUUCCAGGCCGAGCGCCGGGGUGCCAGGCUCCCCCAGAACCCUGUUAUGAACUCCCCGGUGGUCAGUGUGGCUGUGUUCCACCGACGCAACUUCCUAAGGGGUGUCCUGGAGUCCCCAAUCAGCCUGGAGUUCCGCCUGCUACAGACAGCGAAUCGGAGCAAGGCGAUCUGCGUGCAGUGGGACCCACCUGGCCCGGCGGACCAGCACGGCAUGUGGACAGCACGGGACUGCGAGCUGGUGCACAGGAACGGGUCUCACGCCCGAUGUCGCUGCAGCCGGACGGGCACCUUUGGGGUCCUUAUGGAUGCCUCCCCCCGUGAGCGGCUGGAGGGUGACCUGGAGCUGCUGGCGGUAUUCACGCACGUGGUCAUGGCAGUGUCCGUGGCUGCACUGCUUCUGACCGCAGCUGUCCUAUUGAGCCUGCGCAGCCUCAAGUCCAACGUGCGUGGGAUCCAUGCCAACGUGGCGGCUGCCCUGGGCUUGGCGGAGCUACUUUUCCUGCUGGGAAUCCACAGGACCCACAACCAGCUGGUGUGCACUGCGGUCGCCAUCCUCCUGCACUACUUCUUCCUCAGCACCUUCGCGUGGCUCCUUGUGCAGGGCCUACACCUCUACCGCAUGCAGGUGGAACCGCGCAACGUGGACCGCGGCGCCAUGCGCUUCUACCACGCCCUGGGCUGGGGAGUCCCUGCUGUGCUGCUGGGCCUUGCCGUUGGCCUGGAUCCCGAGGGCUACGGGAACCCUGACUUCUGCUGGAUCUCCAUCCAUGAGCCCCUCAUCUGGAGCUUCGCAGGCCCUGUCAUCCUGGUCAUCAUGAUGAACGGGACCAUGCUUCUCCUCGCUGCCCGCACAUCCUGCUCUACGGGGCAGAGGGAGGCCAAGAAGACCUCCAUGUUCAGGAGCCUUCGCAGCUGUUUUCUGCUGCUUCUCCUGGUCAGUGCCUCCUGGCUCUUUGGCCUCCUGGCGGUCAACCACAGUGUCCUGACCUUCCACUACCUCCACGCCACGCUCUGCGGCCUCCAGGGCCUGGUAGUUCUGCUGCUCUUCUGUGUCCUGAAUGCAGAUGCUCGGGCGGCCUGGACGCCGGCCUGUCUGGGCAGGAAGGCAGCGCCCGAGGAAGCGAGGCCGGCGCCUGGCACGGGGCACGGGGCUUACAACAACACCGCCCUCUUUGAAGAGAGUGGCCUCAUCCGCAUCACCCUGGGUGCCUCCACUGUCUCCUCAGUGAGCAGUGCCCGCUCGGGCCGGACCCAGGACCAAGACAGCCAGCGGGGCCGUGGCUACCUCAGGGACAAUGUCCUGGUUCGACAUGGCUCAGCUGCUGACCACACUGACCACAGCCUCCAGGCUCACGCUGGCCCCACUGACCUGGACGUGGCCAUGUUCCAUCGAGAUGCUGGUGGAGCCCCAGACUCUGACUCCGACAGUGACCUGUCCUUGGAGGAGGAGAGAAGUCUGUCCAUCCCAUCCUCAGAGAGCGAGGACAAUGGCCGGACCCGGGGGCGUUUCCAGCGUCCACUCCGCCGCGCAGCCCAGAGUGAGAGGCUCCUCACUCACCCCAAAGAUGUGGAUGGCAAUGACCUCCUAUCCUACUGGCCAGCCCUGGGAGAAUGCGAGGCCACUCCCUGUGCUCUGCAGACCUGGGGCUCCGAAAGGCGCCUGGGGCUGGACACCAGCAAGGACGCAGCCAACAACAACCAGCCAGAUCUGGCCCUGACCAGUGGAGAUGAAACCUCCCUGGGCAGGGCCCAGCGUCAGAGGAAAGGCAUCCUAAAGAACCGACUGCAGUACCCACUGGUGCCACAGACCCGAGGUGCCCCUGAGCUGUCCUGGCGCCGUGCAGCCACCUUGGGCCACCGUGCCGUGCCAGCUGCCUCCUAUGGUCGCAUCUAUGCCGGAGGGGCCACAGGCAGCCUUUCGCAGCCAGCCAGCCGCUACUCUUCUCGAGAACAGCUGGACCUGCUCCUCCGGCGGCAACUGAGCCGUGAGCGACUGGAGGAGGCCCCUGCCCCUAUUCUACAUCCCCUGAGUCGGCCGGGGUCCCAGGAACGCCUGGACGCCGCGCCAGGUCGCCUGGAGCCCAGGGAUCGGGGCAGUACCCUCCCACGGAGGCAGCCACCCAGGGACUACCCUGGCACCAGGGCCGGCCGCUUCGGGUCACGAGAUGCUCUGGACCUAGGGGCGCCCUGCGAGUGGUUGCACACACUGCCCCUGCCCCAUGGUGCCCAGGACCUUGACCCACAGCCCCCGCCUCUGCCCCUGUCUCCCCAGCGGCAACUCUCAAGGGACCCCCUCUUGCCAUCCCGGCCCCUGGAUUCCCUGUCCAGGAGAUCGAACUCAGGGGAGCAGCUGGACCACGUGCCUAGCCGCCACCCCUCACGAGAAGGCCUCGGGCCAGCCCCACAGCUGCUCAGAGUUAGGGAGGACCCAGCCAGUGGCCCUAGCCAUGGCCCCUCCACAGAGCAGCUGGACAUUCUUUCUUCUAUCCUGGCCUCCUUCAACUCCUCAGCUCUCUCCUCCUCUGUGCAGUCCUCCAGCACGCCCUCGGGCCCUCACACCACUGCCACGCCUUCUGCCACAGCCUCUGCGCUUGGGCCCUCCACACCACGCUCUGCCACGUCCCACAGCAUCUCGGAGCUGUCUCCAGACUCAGAAGUUCCCAGAAGCGAGGGGCACUCCUGAGGGGCAGACUCCCAGACUAGGAACGGCUGAGGGCCGUGGAGGAUUUGAGCUAACAGAAGAGACUCCAGGAAUCAGGGGCUGAUCCCAAGGCAGCCUCCCACCCACCCCCCAGCUCUCCUGUUGCUGCAGUGCUGAGGCUCCUCGCUCUGUCCGUGAGCAUGUGAGCAUGUGCGUAACAGGUGCAGGGGGAGGGAACUGAAAGGAGGACUUUUAUACGUUUUGUACCUUUGUAACCAGAGAGAUAUGCUUAUGUUAUUUUUCAGCUUUUCUGUCUCCCGGGGUUCUGAGGCUGGGCUGGAAGGGGAAGGGGACAGAGGGUAAGAGGUGCAGUGUUUGGCCCCAUUUGGGUCCCUGGCAAACGAUAUGCUCUUUCCUCUCAUCUUCCUGGGGUAGAUUCAGAGAGGAGGGGCAAAUAGCCCCUGCCCAUUGAUCUGAAUAUUGUUAGGGCCCAAAGUACAGAAUUGAUCUUUGUGCUUUCUCGGAUGCCCCAAGGGCCAAACUUCAGGGACUGGGGGUUGUCUUGGAAACAGGGGUCCUCUGACUUCCUCACGGGGCUUGCUCAUGCUGCCCCUCCCCGUGGAUGUGUGUGUUUCUUAUGCGGAGUCCCUGCCACUUACUGCCUUAUGUCCUAGGACUGAUGCUGUGGGGCGCUGGUGGAGCAGCACGCCAUGUUUACAGAGCAAGGCUUCCCUUUCUCCCACGCGGUGGGGCUCAGGCCUCUAUGCAGACAUUCCUGCAGAGGGUGGACUAGGGGGUCAUUUGCCAGCCCCUGCUAAGAGCAAACAUUGUCUGUGGUGCCAUCUGAUUCCCUGACACUGCCCUGUGCUAGAAUUUCUUCCUAGGGGUAGGCAGGGGAGCAAGCGGGAGCAGAAGUAAGAGAGUUGAAGACACAGAAUGUAGGUGCCACUGCCUCCCAUGUUUACAGGACCCUCCCUGGCCCUGGGCACCUGGGCUGCGGUAACUAGUUCCAUCCUAUUUCAUUCCCUUCUAAAGGGAGAAAUGACUGUUAGGACCCUGUUCACAAACCUCUUUUAUUACUUUGUCUGACGUCCAGAACUGGGGACUUUAGAUUUUGUUACUUUGUUUACAGGUCAAGAUUUAAAACAUUCUAAAACUGUGUUUACAACUUAAAACCUUGAACUUUUAUACUUUGUUUACAGUUGAAAAAGUGGUCCCCCCCCCCUUUGUUUACAAGUGAAAGAUUGAGAAGGCAGGAGAGGGGCUGGAAGACCCUGGACCUGGCCAUCUUGGGAGGUUUCUAGCUCCUAACUCUCCCAGGCCAAAGGUCAGUCCUGAGCCCCCUGCUGAACAGCAGACCCAGAAGGCCUCCAGAGUAGGCAUCCUCUUAUGGCUAGGAACAAUGGGUUGUGCAGGGUUGUAGGGGGUCUGUGCAGACACCCCCCUUCCCCACACAAACUCUUGGGAGGCAAUUUCCAAGGAGAUUAAAAAUUCUACUUUGCUGACUGGUGCCAAAUCCUGCCAGCCAGGACUCCAGCUCUCCUUACCCAGAAUGACCCCAGCCCUUGAAGGGUUGAGGGGCCUGCUCUGGGAGAAGGGGGGUGUCCUUGCUAUGUCCUAGGUUCUAUAGAUGCCCCUCUCUGGGGGUCCCCUGCUCCAGCCCAGUGGCCCCUUUCCCUGUCUGUGUAAAUUGUUCCGUGAAGCCGCGCUCUGUUUUGGGAAUAAACUUCUAUAGAAAACGGUUAUUGCCUCUUUCUGUUUGGGAGUGGGAGUGGGGUGGGUAGGGUAGGAGGGUGGUUAUGAUUCAGACCAGGCUGACUUUUGGGAGAAAUCUGAGCACUGCCCCUCCCCCCUCAAUAUUCAGCUAUUUUUAGCCCAUUUUAUCUGACAUUUGGACCAAGUUCCCAUCUCUUUCACCCUGAGUUCUGGCCUGGUGCUUUGUGAUCUGGGGCCUGAAGUAUAAGCACAGGUCCUGGGAGUAAGGCGCCAGGGAAAUCCCUUCUCUCCUCAAGGUGUCAGCAUGAUGACUUGGUCUUCAGGGCCUGCAACUCUAACCUGGCAUUUGCCCUGGCCAGGGCUCCAACCAACCUUAGGAACUGCCCUUGCCAACCCCUCAGCCCGUUAACAGCACUGACCACUAGCCUCUCGGACUUGCAGCUGGCCAGGACAUCGUGUUCCUUCCCUGCUCAGGCAGAAGCCUUUGGGCGAGAUGCCAGGCUGUGCCCUGUAGGGGAGGGAAACCUCGCAGCCUCAUUUCAGGUCUGGAUGUCCAGAGUUGAAGGGAGGCCUUGAGCACCUUCGGUGUCAGACACUGGUCUUAAGGGGAAAGCCUGAAGGCGCCGCCCUUAGUGGGAGGCAAAAGAGGCCCCAUAGACCGGAUACCCCAAGGAAAGCUAAGGCUCUGGUUACCAGCAGCGCCCCCAGGCAGCCCAUUUGGGGGGUUUCCCUCCCCAUCCCGCGGGGACCCUCCGAGAGAAGCCAGAACUUGGUAUCCGCCCUGUCGUACUCAGGUACCCCGGCCACGGCCGUAGCCGAGCGGGGAUCCUUAGUCCCAGUUGUCAAGUUCCAGGCCGCAGGGGAGGAAGGGGUUAAAUCUUCCGCCCCGGGGGCUCGCCCCGCCUAAAGAGCGUCCCUUAGGCCCCGCCCGAGCACGCUGAUUGGUCCAAGCCUGCCCCGUCCUGUCCAGGGAUUGGCCCCUUGGAGCCCGCCGUAGGUCCCUGUCUCCCCUCCCGAACGGUAGUGGCCUCCCGCAGGAGCUUUAUCCGCCGCCGCCGCCACCUGGCAGGCAGCCCACUGGCCAUGGGGUUGUCUGAAGCUUCGGGGUGAGUGCUGGGCACGGUUCCGGUUCUCCGCGUCCGUGUCCGCGAGCUGCCGCGUGGCCCCGGUGCAGGCGCCAGCUUGGGUUAGCUCGGAAGGGGUACCGCUAAGUCCGGAGCAGCCAUCCUCCCCCUGCGACGCCUUGGUUUGCAGCUUUGCCGAUUUUCUGCAGGCGGUUGCCCGCUGAAGCGAGGGAUGGGGCGGGAGCCCGCGCGACCCCCGCCCCUGAGGGCUGUGCGGGAAGCCACUCGAGCGCCGCCCGCGGGCUAGCCUCGGGCCGCGGGAGGCGGCUGAGUGUGGAGGAGCCCCGGCCCAGGAGGUGAGCCGCUGGGUGCGUUGGGGCCGGGAGGUCGCCGCAAGGAGUCCAUAGCGGUGGCCUGAGCCCACCCAGCUGUACCACUGACCGGGAAUGAGGGGUCCGGCUGGAAGGACCGAGGUGCCCUCCCCGGCGAAGGGGCCAAGGAUCUAGGCCCCGCCCUCCAAGCACGCGUCCUGGGGAGUUGGGGAGACCUUUAACAAGACCUGAGUGACUCACGGAGGAGGGGCAAGGGGGCUCAAAGAUCUCUGUGAGACCGCGGUGCCAAGAGUCUCUGAGGAUCUAUCUGCCUUGCACCUACUCCACUCCCUUCUCUGACCAGGACAUCCAGGUUAGAGGUUCUUCCCAGGCGAGUUCCUACCCCUCGGGAGAUCCUACCCCUAGGUCAGAGCCCACAGAUCAGAACUUUCCUGAAAACUUUCCCAGCAGGGGAGAGUUUCCCUUCAGGGAAGACUCCUGCGCUGAGAUCUAUUCCCAGGUGAGAGCUUUCAACCAUUUCAGGUGGGAGCCUACGCCAGCCAGACAGAGGGACACACAGGCACUGUUGCCUGUGACACAGGCCAUGGAGCUGA